RNAcentral lists this ribosomal RNA (672 nucleotides) under uncultured marine eukaryote. RNAcentral's name for it is "SSU rRNA". It matches the Rfam family "Eukaryotic small subunit ribosomal RNA", at positions 615 to 1291 of the family's 1831-position model. The record is from RNAcentral.
GCGGUUAAAAAGCUCGUAGUUGGAUUUCUGUUGAGGUCGACCGGUGCGCACCUCGUGCGUGUAUUUGGUUCGGUCUCGGCAUCCUCCUGGGGAACGUGUCAGGACUUUAUUGGACUGCGCGAGAUUCAGGACUUUUACUUUGAGGAAAUUAGAGUGUUCACGGCAGGCAAGUGCUUUGAAUACAUUAGCAUGGAAUAAUAAUAUAGGACCUUCGUUCUAUUUUGUUGGUUUCUAGAACUUAGGUAAUGAUUAAUAGGGACAAUUGGGGGCAUUCGUAUUAACGCGUCAGAGGUGGAAUUCUUGGAUUGCGUUACGGCGAACUACUGCGAAAGCAUUUGCCAAAGAUGUUUUCAUUGAUCAAGAACGAAAGUAUGGGGAUCGAAGACGCUUAGAUACCGUCGUAGUCUAUACCAUAAACUAUGCCAACUAGAGAUUGGUGGGGUUAUCCUAUGUGGCUCCAUCAGCAUCUUAUGAGAAAUCGAAGUUUUUGGGUUCCGGGGGGAGUAUGGUCGCAAGGCUGAAACUUAAAGGAAUUGACGGAAGGGCACCACCAGGAGUGGAGCCUGCGGCUUAAUUUGACUCAACACGGGAAAACUCACCAGGUCCAGACAUAGUAAGGAUUGACAGAUUGAUAGCUCUUUCUUGAUUCUGUGGGUGGUGGUGCAUGGCCGU